Molecule: long non-coding RNA, 319 nt
Organism: Stegodyphus dumicola
Lineage: Eukaryota; Metazoa; Arthropoda; Arachnida; Araneae; Eresidae
Source: RefSeq, a predicted model, not a curated record
UUUUAUUUUAGGGUGAUGCUUCCAGUUUCUGUGAAAUGAAAAAAACAAAUACUUUUUUGGAAUAGGAAAUACGAAACCUGGUUGUGGUAUUCCAACUCAAAAUGUACAUACAUGAAAACAUAUCUUGAGAAUGAAUUUGGGCUGCUGCAAACCGUCCUUCAAGAAAAUACGGCGAUUCUUUUAAUCUUCACAUAUAUAGUAAACGAACUGCCAUAUCAGUCAGCUGGAAAAAAAAUGAAAGUUUCAUUAGUUAUGUAUUUUGUAAGACAAAAUUUCUACAUAUAAUUUGCUUUAAUAAAAUCAGCAUUUUUGUUUUUAA